This 480-nucleotide ribosomal RNA is filed under the name uncultured bacterium. Its description in RNAcentral is "partial 16S ribosomal RNA". It matches the Rfam family "Bacterial small subunit ribosomal RNA", at positions 29 to 507 of the family's 1533-position model. The record is from RNAcentral.
AUGAACGCUGGCGGCGUGCUUAACACAUGCCAGUCGCACGAAGCACUUUAUUUGAUUUCCUUCGGGACUGAUUAUUUUGUGACUGAGUGGUGGACGGGUGAGUAACGCGUGGGUAACCUGCCUUGUACAGGGGGAUAACAGUUGGAAACGGCUGCUAAUACCGCAUAAGCGCACGGCAUCGCAUGAUGCAGUGUGAAAAACUCCGGUGGUAUAAGAUGGACCCGCGUUGGAUUAGCUAGUUGGUGAGGUAACGGCCCACCAAGGCGACGAUCCAUAGCCGACCUGAGAGGGUGACCGGCCACAUUGGGACUGAGACACGGCCCAAACUCCUACGGGAGGCAGCAGUGGGGAAUAUUGCACAAUGGGCGAAAGCCUGAUGCAGCGACGCCGCGUGAGCGAAGAAGUAUUUCGGUAUGUAAAGCUCUAUCAGCAGGGAAGAUAAUGACGGUACCUGACUAAGAAGCACCGGCUAAAUACGUG